CACGUAGGGGGCGAGCGUUGUCCGGAAUCAUUGGGCGUAAAGAGCUCGUAGGCGGCUCAGUAAGUCGGGUGUGAAACCCCCAGGCUCAACCUGGGGACGCCACCCGAUACUGCUGUGGCUAGAGUCCAGUAGGGGAGUGUGGAAUUCCCGGUGUAGCGGUGAAAUGCGCAGAUAUCGGGAGGAACACCUAUGGCGAAGGCAGCUCGCUGGGACGUUACUGACGCUGAGACGCGAAAGCGUGGGGAGCAAACAGG
Molecule: ribosomal RNA, 254 nt
Filed under: uncultured bacterium
Lineage: Bacteria
Description: partial 16S ribosomal RNA
Rfam family: Bacterial small subunit ribosomal RNA
Source: RNAcentral